This 91-nucleotide transfer RNA is filed under the name Fusarium tricinctum. RNAcentral describes it as "tRNA-Ala". It matches the Rfam family "tRNA". Rfam says of the family: Transfer RNA (tRNA) molecules are approximately 80 nucleotides in length. Their secondary structure includes four short double-helical elements and three loops (D, anti-codon, and T loops). The record is from RNAcentral. Lineage: Eukaryota; Fungi; Ascomycota; Sordariomycetes; Hypocreales; Nectriaceae.
GGGCGAAUGGUUUAGUGGUAUAAUACUCCCUUAGCAUGAUUCGUUCUGCCUCAACUGGGAGUGGUCCAGGGUUCGAUUCCCUGUUCGUCCA